UACGUAGGGGGCAAGCGUUGUCCGGAAUCAUUGGGCGUAAAGCGCGUGUAGGCGGUCCGAUAAGUCGGCUGUGAAAGUCAGGGGCUCAACCCCUGAAUGCCGGCCGAUACUGUCGGGCUAGAGUCCGGAAGAGGCGAGUGGAAUUCCCGGUGUAGCGGUGAAAUGCGCAGAUAUCAGGAAGAACACCCGUGGCGAAGGCGGCUCUCUGGGACGGUACUGACGCUGAGACGCGAAAGCGUGGGGAGCGAACAGG
Molecule: ribosomal RNA, 253 nt
Filed under: uncultured bacterium
Lineage: Bacteria
Description: partial 16S ribosomal RNA
Rfam family: Bacterial small subunit ribosomal RNA
Source: RNAcentral